UAAAUUGAUGACUAAUCAUGUGAUAUAUACGUAUGAUAUAUAAACCGGAAGUGAUAUCCUGUUUUCUACGAAUUUUAGAACUUACCUUAAUUAUCACUUUCGUUCAUACAUUUAUACGUUAGUUUACUCUAAAAAGGUAUAUACUCAUUAUCAAUUAUACAUGAUGCAUUAAAAUGCAUAAAACAUUUAAAAUAAAUGCAUACCCGUAAACAUAGAUCUACAUUAUUGUAUGUAGUCUAAAGGAUAUUAUAAAUAAGCUAUGAGUUGUAAUACAAUGUUGGUACACUUUAUUUUUAUAAUCGUAUAAUAUUGUACAAAUUAUUACAGUAAACUAUAUAUUUCUGUAAUUACGUCUAUGAAUGUUUCUCUGUUUUACCAACAUAGUUUGCCAUAAAAGUGGCUGACAAGUGGUAGUUCAAUUAAAUAAUAUAACCAUACAGUGUAAAAAUGCACUAUGUUAUGUCCUUUAUCGAAUGCAAUCUUUUUUUUCUAAAAUUAUUUCCUACAAUAACGUACAAAACUUAUUAAGAAAAGAUCAAAAUUAUUAAAUUAAUUCUGUUACUUCUUUCGACUAUCUACAUAUUCAUAUAAGCCUAUUAUAUAAAUCCAUAGUGCUUACAAGAAGAUAAUUAACUGUCCCUUCUUAUACCACGCUAUCACUAUGCUAUAAUAAUUAUAUAUAUAUAUAUAUAUAUUACAUAUAUAUAUAUAUAUAUGAUUUUACAUAUUUAUAUAUAUAAUACUUUUCUUGAUAUUAUAUAUAUACAUAUAUAAAUAUAUAUGUGUAGAUGUCACGUUGUUCAUACUAACAAAUUCGGUAUUUCAUAAUAAAUUUAUCGUUCCAACGGAAAAAAUGUAUACACAUAUGUGUGUCAUCCUAUUUUAUUGAUAUAGUCGUUUAUAUUAUAUUCUAUAUUAAUGUACAUUUUUGUUUAUAUAAGAGCGCAAAAAUAAAACUUAAUAUUUUAUUAUAACGUCUGCCACGAAAAAUUUAAACUUAUAGCAAUAGAUACAAUUUACAA
Bombus huntii is the source of this 1022-nucleotide long non-coding RNA. RefSeq lists it as uncharacterized. The record is from RefSeq and is a predicted model, not a curated record. The transcript is spliced from 2 exons. NCBI's taxonomy places the organism in Eukaryota, Metazoa, Arthropoda, Insecta, Hymenoptera, Apidae.